AUUGAACGCUGGCGGCAGGCCUAACACAUGCAAGUCGAGCGGAUGAAGGGAGCCUGCUCCUGGAUUCAGCGGCGGACGGGUGAGUAAUGCCUAGGAAUCUGCCUGGUAGUGGGGGAUAACGUCCGGAAACGGGCGCUAAUACCGCAUACGUCCUGAGGGAGAAAGUGGGGGAUCUUCGGACCUCACGCUAUCAGAUGAGCCUAGGUCGGAUUAGCUAGUUGGUGGGGUAAAGGCCUACCAAGGCGACGAUCCGUAACUGGUCUGAGAGGAUGAUCAGUCACACUGGAACUGAGACACGGUCCAGACUCCUACGGGAGGCAGCAGUGGGGAAUAUUGGACAAUGGGCGAAAGCCUGAUCCAGCCAUGCCGCGUGUGUGAAGAAGGUCUUCGGAUUGUAAAGCACUUUAAGUUGGGAGGAAGGGCAGUAAGUUAAUACCUUGCUGUUUUGACGUUACCAACAGAAUAAGCACCGGCUAACUUCGCG
RNAcentral lists this ribosomal RNA (484 nucleotides) under uncultured bacterium. Its description in RNAcentral is "partial 16S ribosomal RNA". It matches the Rfam family "Bacterial small subunit ribosomal RNA", at positions 30 to 507 of the family's 1533-position model. The record is from RNAcentral.